RNAcentral lists this ribosomal RNA (346 nucleotides) under uncultured bacterium. RNAcentral's name for it is "partial 16S ribosomal RNA". It matches the Rfam family "Bacterial small subunit ribosomal RNA", at positions 338 to 698 of the family's 1533-position model. The record is from RNAcentral.
CCUACGGGUGGCUGCAGUGGGGAAUAUUGGGCAAUGGGCGCAAGCCUGACCCAGCAACGCCGCGUGAAGGAAGAAGGCUCUCGGGUUGUAAACUUCUUUUAUCAGGGACGAAGCAAGUGACGGUACCGGAUGAAUAAGCCACGGCUAACUACGGGCCAGCAGCCGCGGUAAUACGUAGGGGGCAAGCGUUAUCCGGAUUUACUGGGUGUAAAGGGCGUGUAGGCGGGAAAGGCAGUCAGAUGGGAAAACCAUGGGCUCAACCUGUGGCCUGCAUUGGAAACGGUUUUUCUUGCGUACUGGAGAGGCAGCCGGCAUUCCUCGUGUAGCGGUGACAUGCGUAGAUAUU